CCUACGGGGGGCAGCAGUGAGGAAUAUUGGUCAAUGGACGAGAGUCUGAACCAGCCAAGUAGCGUGAAGGAUGACUGCCCUAUGGGUUGUAAACUUCUUUUAUAUGGGAAUAAAAUGUUCCACGUGUGGGAUUUUGUAUGUACCAUAUGAAUAAGGAUCGGCUAACUCCGUGCCAGCAGCCGCGGUAAUACGGAGGAUCCGAGCGUUAUCCGGAUUUAUUGGGUUUAAAGGGAGCGUAGGUGGAUUGUUAAGUCAGUUGUGAAAGUUUGCGGCUCAACCGUAAAAUUGCAGUUGAAACUGGCAGUCUUGAGUACAGUAGAGGUGGGCGGGAUUCGUGGUGUAGCGGUGAAAUGCUUAGAUAUCACGAAGAACUCCGAUUGCGAAGGCAGUUCACUGGACUGCAACUGACACUGAGGCUCGAAAGUGUGGGUAUCAAACAGGAUUAGAUACCCCAGUAGUC
This 460-nucleotide ribosomal RNA is filed under the name uncultured bacterium. Its description in RNAcentral is "partial 16S ribosomal RNA". It matches the Rfam family "Bacterial small subunit ribosomal RNA", at positions 338 to 795 of the family's 1533-position model. The record is from RNAcentral.